RNAcentral lists this long non-coding RNA (1550 nucleotides) under Medicago truncatula (barrel medic). Its description in RNAcentral is "long non-coding RNA (MTRU_LNC003017)". The record is from RNAcentral. Lineage: Eukaryota; Viridiplantae; Streptophyta; Magnoliopsida; Fabales; Fabaceae.
UAGUGAUAGUCGUUGCAGUAGUUAGUUCGGUGAUCGUUGUGGUGGUUGCCGUAACUUUUGGAGCUUAUAUCUGGAAACAGAGAUACAUUCAAAAGAAAAGAAGAGGUAUAAGAUUUAAUAGCUUAUCUCUAUUUGUUAAUAAUAAUAGCAAACCUAGAAUAUCACACCAUUUAUAUCAUCAUAGUAAGAAAUUCUGUUUUUUCUUUUCAAAGUGCUACAAUUUAUCUUGCAAACAAAUUGUGGAAUCGUUAGCAGUUAUAACACAACUACAUUGAGAAACUUUACUGAUCCAAAUGGUCGUCCUGGUUGCCAGGAUCAAAUGAUGCAGAAAAGUUAGCAAAGAGUCUAGAGCAAAAAAGCUUGAACUUCAAGUACAAUACAUUGGAAAAAGCUACUGGAUCUUUUAAUGACAAUAGAAAAAUAGGGCAUGGAGGAUUCGGAACGGUUUAUAAAGUAUUUCUCUUAUCUUAAGACCUAUAAAUAACCACACAUUUUACAUAUCAAGCAGAUUAACAGUUUGGUUGCUGCAGGGAGUUCUACCAGAUGGAAGAGAGAUUGCUAUCAAGAGGUUAUUUUUCAACAACAGACAUAGAGCAGCAGAUUUCUCUAACGAAGUCGACAUAAUUAGCGGUGUCGAACACAAGAAUCUAGUUAGACUAUUAGGAUGCAGUUGUUCAGGACCCGAAAGCCUUCUUGUAUAUGAAUUUAUGCCUAACAGAAGUCUUGAUCGCUUCAUUUUUGGUAAUUUAUGAACUCAUGCAGUAACUUAGACAACUAACUCAUGCUUGUUUAAGCUAGUGCCUCACUUUGACUAUUAAGUGAUUAUUAGUUUAACAUAAUAUGAACUAAAUAUAAAGUGUCUUAUGCAUAAUUACAGAUAAAAACAAGGGCAGAGAACUAAACUGGGAAAAAAGAUAUGAAAUUAUUAUUGGGACAGCUGAAGGAUUAGUUUACCUGCAUGAGAACUCCAAAAUCAGAAUAAUUCAUAGAGAUAUAAAAGCCAGCAACAUCCUAUUGGAUUCAAAGCUUCGAGCUAAAAUUGCAGAUUUUGGUUUGGCCAGGUCCUUUCAAGAAGACAAGAGCCACAUAAGCACAGCUAUUGCAGGAACUUUGUAAGUAUCUUAUAACACAUAAUGUGUGUUUUGGUAUAGAGAAAUGUUUUUUGUACAACUAACUUGGACAAAUGUUGUGACAACUUUUAAGUGAUUAACAAAGCUUAAAUAAGUUGUUAAUUAUGUUUAGUAGAUAGUUAAUAAAUAUAUCAGGUGGCGAAACUCAUUAACCAAGAAUUUGGACGUGGUUUUGAACACCUAAAAAGUUUAGUUAAUCACAUCCAAAUCUGUGGUUAAUGAGUUUUACACCUUAUAUGCUCAUUAACCAUGUUCUGAAUGUAAUUAACCGCCUAUUUUAACUGCGUUAACCACUUAGAUAGUAGUCGCAAAAGUUGUCGAAAUUUAGUUGUUCGAAUAACACAGCUUUUUGGUAAAUACUAAAAGUUUUGAACAAUCAAAAUAAGAGGCAAAGAACAACCUACUAUUGCAAAAAAGAAU